UGAGGAACAUGACCUUCGGCGGGGGAUAGCCGGCCCAACGGCCGGGUAAUACCGCGUACGACCACUUUGGGACAUCCCUAGGUGGUGAAAGCAGCAAUGCGCCGAUGGAGUGCCUCGCGGCCUAUCAGCUAGUUGGUGAGGUAACGGCUCACCAAGGCGACGACGGGUAGCUGGUCUGAGAGGAUGGCCAGCCACAGUUGGGACUGAGACACGGCCCAGACCUCCGUACGGGGAGCAG
Molecule: ribosomal RNA, 238 nt
Filed under: uncultured bacterium
Lineage: Bacteria
Description: partial 16S ribosomal RNA
Rfam family: Bacterial small subunit ribosomal RNA
Source: RNAcentral